RNAcentral lists this ribosomal RNA (492 nucleotides) under uncultured bacterium. RNAcentral's name for it is "partial 16S ribosomal RNA". It matches the Rfam family "Bacterial small subunit ribosomal RNA", at positions 29 to 507 of the family's 1533-position model. The record is from RNAcentral.
AGUGAACGCUGGCGGUAUGCCUAACACAUGCAAGUCGAACGGCAGCACAGUAAGAGCUUGCUCUUACGGGUGGCGAGUGGCGUACGGGUGAGGAAUACAUCGGAAUCUACUUUUUCGUGGGGGAUAACGUUGGGAAACUUACGCUAAUACCUCAUACGACCUACGGGUGAAAGCAGGGGAUCUUCGGACCUUGCGCGAUUGAAUGAGCCGAUGUCGGAUUAGCUAGUUGGCGGGGUAAAGGCCCACCAAGGCGACGAUCCGUAGCUGGUCUGAGAGGAUGAUCAGCCACACUGGAACUGAGACACGGUCCAGACUCCUACGGGAGGCAGCAGUGGGGAAUAUUGGACAAUGGGCGCAAGCCUGAUCCAGCCAUACCGCGUGGGUGAAGAAGGCCUUCGGGUUGUAAAGCCCUUUUGUUGGGAAAGAAAAGCAGCAGGUUAAUACCCCGCUGUUCUGACGGUACCCAAAGAAUAAGCACCGGCUAACUUCGUG